RNAcentral lists this unclassified non-coding RNA (234 nucleotides) under plant metagenome. RNAcentral describes it as "partial contains small subunit ribosomal RNA, internal transcribed spacer 1, and 5.8S ribosomal RNA". The record is from RNAcentral.
UCUCCGUUGGUGAACCAGAGGAGGGACCAUUACUGAGUUAUUCUACUCCCAAACCCCUGUGAACUUAUACCUUUGCGGUUGCUUCGGAGGGUUAACGCCCCGGAAGGCCCGCGAGGGCAGGCGGAACCAGGCGCCCGCCGGGGGACCCAAACUCUUGUAUCUUUUUUAUAGCAUGUCUGAGUGGAAUCAUAAACAAGUGAAUCAAAACUUUCAACAACGGAUUUCUUGGUUCUG